This 197-nucleotide ribosomal RNA is filed under the name uncultured bacterium. RNAcentral describes it as "partial 16S ribosomal RNA". It matches the Rfam family "Bacterial small subunit ribosomal RNA", at positions 328 to 539 of the family's 1533-position model. The record is from RNAcentral.
ACGCUCGACACCUACGGGAGGCAGCAGUCGGGAAUAUUGCGCAAUGGAGGAAACUCUGACGCAGUGACGCCGCGUAUAGGAAGAAGGUUUUCGGAUUGUAAACUAUUGUCGUUAGGAAGAGAAAGGACAGUACCUAAGGAGGAAGCUCCGGCUAACUACGUGCCACAGCCGCGGUAAUCUGAGCGGGCUGGCAAGGC